Molecule: unclassified non-coding RNA, 343 nt
Filed under: plant metagenome
Description: partial contains small subunit ribosomal RNA, internal transcribed spacer 1, and 5.8S ribosomal RNA
Source: RNAcentral
UUUCCGUAGGUGAACCUGCGGAAGGAUCAUUAUUGAAUACUCUUGAUGGGUUGUAGCUGGCUCUUCGGGGCAUGUGCACACUUGUCUUGACUUUAUUCAUCCACCUGUGCACCUUUUGUAGUCUUGUGGGUUGAGAGCAGUCGACUAUCGGAUGGCUAUGGCCUUUCCGGACGUGAGGAAUGCUGAGUGCGAAAGCAUACAGCUCUUCUCAAAUGACUUGCAAAACCUCUUCCUCAAGUACUAUGUAUUCAUAUACCACAUAGUAUGUUGUCGAAUGUGAUCAAUGGGCCUAUGUGCCUAUAAAAAUCAUAUACAACUUUCAGCAACGGAUCUCUUGGCUCUC